CUACGGGAGGCAGCAGUGGGGAAUCUUGCACAAUGGAGGAAACUCUGAUGCAGCGAUGCCGCGUGAGUGAAGAAGGCCCUUGGGUUGUAAAGCUCUUUCGUCGGGGAAGAAAAUGACUGUACCCGAAUAAGAAGGUCCGGCUAACUUCGUGCCAGCAGCCGCGGUAAUACGAAGGGACCUAGCGUAGUUCGGAAUUACUGGGCUUAAAGAGUUCGUAGGUGGUUGAAAAAGUUAGUGGUGAAAUCCCAGAGCUUAACUCUGGAACUGCCAUUAAAACUUUUCAGCUAGAGUAUGAUAGAGGAAAGCAGAAUUUCUAGUGUAGAGGUGAAAUUCGUAGAUAUUAGAAAGAAUACCAAUUGCGAAGGCAGCUCUCUGGAUCAUUACUGACACUGAGGAACGAAAGCAUGGGUAGCGAAGAGGAUUAGAUACCCUCGUAGUCCAUGCCGUAAACGAUGUGUGUUAGACGUUGGAAAUUUAUUUUCAGUGUCGCAGGGAAACCGAUAAACACACCGCCUGGGGAGUACGACCGCAAGGUUAAAACUCAAAGGAAUUGACGGA
Molecule: ribosomal RNA, 558 nt
Filed under: uncultured bacterium
Lineage: Bacteria
Description: bacterial SSU rRNA
Rfam family: Bacterial small subunit ribosomal RNA
Source: RNAcentral